CCUACGUGAGGCUGCAGUGGGGAAUAUUGCACCAUGGGGGAAACCCUGAUGCAGCGACGCCGCGUGAGUGAUGAAGUAUUUAUGUAUUUAAAGCUCUAUCAGCAGGGAAGAAAAUGACGGUACCUGAUUAAGAAGCCCCGUCUAACUACGUUCCAGCAGCCGCGGUACUACGUAGGCGGCAUGCGUUAUCCGGAUUUACUGGGUGUAAAGGGAGCGUAGACGGUGAUGCAAGUCAGAAGUGAAAGCCUGGGGCUCAGCUCCGGGAGUGCUGUUGAAACUGUGGGACUGGAGUGCGUGAGAGGUAGGCGGAAUGCGUGGUGUAGCGGUGAAAUGCGUAGAUAUCAGGAGGAACACCAGUGGCGAAGGCGGCUUACUGGACUGUAACUGACGUUGAGGCUCGAAAGCGUGGGGAGCAAACAGGAUUAGAUACCCUUGUAGUC
RNAcentral lists this ribosomal RNA (440 nucleotides) under uncultured bacterium. Its description in RNAcentral is "partial 16S ribosomal RNA". It matches the Rfam family "Bacterial small subunit ribosomal RNA", at positions 338 to 795 of the family's 1533-position model. The record is from RNAcentral.